Molecule: transfer RNA, 82 nt
Filed under: Schistosoma mansoni
Lineage: Eukaryota; Metazoa; Platyhelminthes; Trematoda; Strigeidida; Schistosomatidae
Source: RNAcentral
AAUAUGCGACACACGAAUAAGACAAUCAAACUUUAAAGAGACGUACAGAGCAGGAGUAUAUUCUGAAUAAAUCAAUGAGAAU